RNAcentral lists this ribosomal RNA (497 nucleotides) under uncultured bacterium. Its description in RNAcentral is "partial 16S ribosomal RNA". It matches the Rfam family "Bacterial small subunit ribosomal RNA", at positions 28 to 507 of the family's 1533-position model. The record is from RNAcentral.
GAUGAACGCUGGCGGCGUGCCUAAUACAUGCAAGUCGAACGCUGGGACGAGGAGCUUGCUCCUCUUAUGUUAGCGGCGGACGGGUGAGUAACGCGUAGAUAACCUGCCUUUUAGCCUGGGAUAACUACUGGAAACGGUAGCUAAUACCGCAUAAUAUUUUGAGCCGCAUGGUUCAUAAUUGAAAGACGCUAUUGCUGCCCUUCAUAGAUGGCUCCCCGCUGCAUUACCUAGUUGGUAAGUUAAAGGCUUACCAAGGCAACGAUGCAUAGCCGACCUGGGAGGGGGAUCGCCCACACUGGAACUGAGACACGCUCCAGACUCCUACGGGAGGCAGCAGUAGGGAAUCUUCGGCAUGGGGGGAAAGCCUGCCGGAGCAAGGCCGCGUGAGUGAUGAAGGUCUUCGGAUCGUAAAACUCUGUUAUUAGGGAAGAACAUAUGUGUAAGGAACUGUGCACAUCUUGACGGUACCUAAUCAGAAAGCCACGGCUAACUACGUG